GUGGGGAAUAUUGGGCAAUGGGCGAAAGCCUGACCCAGCAACGCCGCGUGAGGGAAGAAGGCCUUCGGGUUGUAAACCUCUGUCCUUGGUGACGAAACAAAUGACGGUAGCCAAGGAGGAAGCCCCGGCUAACUACGUGCCAGCAGCCGCGGUAAUACGUAGGGGGCAAGCGUUGUCCGGAAUGAUUGGGCGUAAAGGGCGCGUAGGCGGCCUGGUAAGUCUGGAGUGAAAGUCCUGCUUUUAAGGUGGGAAUUGCUUUGGAUACUGUCGGGCUUGAGUGCAGGAGAGGUAAGUGGAAUUCCCGGUGUAGCGGUGAAAUGCGUAGAGAUCGGGAGGAACACCAGUGGCGAAGGCGACUUACUGGACUGUAACUGACGCUGAGGCGCGAAAGUGUGGGGAGCAAACAGGAUUAGAUACCCUGGUAGUCC
RNAcentral lists this ribosomal RNA (428 nucleotides) under uncultured bacterium. RNAcentral's name for it is "partial 16S ribosomal RNA". It matches the Rfam family "Bacterial small subunit ribosomal RNA", at positions 354 to 796 of the family's 1533-position model. The record is from RNAcentral.